This is a small nucleolar RNA of Rhododendron vialii, 108 nucleotides long. RefSeq annotates it as small nucleolar RNA snoR100. The record is from RefSeq and is a predicted model, not a curated record. The transcript has a single exon. NCBI's taxonomy places the organism in Eukaryota, Viridiplantae, Streptophyta, Magnoliopsida, Ericales, Ericaceae.
AAAUGAAGCAAACAUGGUAAUAUACACUAAAAUUGAAUUGGGUCUCCAAGCCACCUCUCUCUGAUGCCAUUUGGUUUUGAUUUGAGAGAAUGGUUCGGCAGCAAAACA